This 323-nucleotide unclassified non-coding RNA is filed under the name uncultured fungus. RNAcentral describes it as "sequence contains ITS1". The stretch from base 1 to 105 matches the Rfam family "5.8S ribosomal RNA", at positions 50 to 154 of the family's 154-position model. Lineage: Eukaryota; Fungi. The record is from RNAcentral.
GAAAUGCGAAAAGCAAUGCGAAUUGCAGAAUUCCGCGAGUCAUCAGAUCUUCGAACGCACCUGGCGCCGACCGGAUCUCCGAUUGGCAUGCUUGUUUCAGUGUCUUGUUACGACUCACAAAUCAUAAUGUGAUUGACUGGGGUAGAGUGAGUUCUCUCACCCUGCUUCCCUGUCUCUCAUGAAGUGAGCGCUGGACCGACGAACCCGAUGCAGUAGUCACUCUCGCAGUGAUACUCAUUGGAACUCGGCGGAUUACUCCUGCGGUACAAAAACGAUAACAUCACAACGCAUCUGAGGCAAGCAAGAUCACCCGCUGAACUUAA